RNAcentral lists this long non-coding RNA (2593 nucleotides) under Octopus vulgaris (common octopus). Lineage: Eukaryota; Metazoa; Mollusca; Cephalopoda; Octopoda; Octopodidae. The record is from RNAcentral.
AUCGUAGGUCAAAAGGUAAAGAUCCUAAUUAUUUAAUAAAAAGGAUUUUUCUGAUAGGAAUUUUAUUUUGAAUAUACAAAUGAGCAAAAUAAUUUAUCUAUGCAAAUAUUAUUAAAUCGUUUCUGCUUCUUACAAUUCAAUUGUUGGAGUGGGGUAGAUUUAGGGACUGGGGUGGAUCUUAAGAAGUAUUAAGCAUUCAUUGAUUUCCUUUUUUAGUUAUUUCUUUUUGUUUUUUUUACAAAUUAAAAGAAAAUUCUUAUUUAUAGCUAGAACCAAGCCGUGGCAUAGAAACAGUUUGAGGUCAACUUUCCCUUUCAUCCUUUUGAAGCUGUUAGGGAUCAAUGAAGACAAUGAGUUCGCUCCACUAAAAUUGCAGGCCUUGUGCCUAAAGUAGAAAGUUAUUCCAGAAACAUUUAUUCUUAGGGAAGUGAAUCAUGUUGAGCAAAAUGCAGAGCAGCAUUUCGUCCAUCUUUAGGUUCUGAGUUCAACUUUGCCUUGCAUCCUUCUAGGGUUGAUAAAAUUCUAGGGUUGAUAAAAUAAGUACCAGUUGAGCACUGGGGGUCGAUGCAAUCAACUUACCCCUUCCCCCAGAACUGCUGACCUUCUGCUAAAGUUGGUGGAUUAACACUCAUUAGAGCAUUGGGAAAAAAGCUUUCUAACUCCUUAUAUUCUGAGUUCAAAUCCCAGCAAAGUCAACUUUACCUUUGACUCUCCCAGAAUCAUUAAAAUAAAGUACUAGUCAAGUACUGGCUACUCCUCCCCUAAAAUUGCUGGUCUUGUGCCAAAAUUUGAAACCAUUAUUGUCAAAUGAUGAGUGGUAAAGCAAUGAACAGAAUGUCUUCUGUUAUUUAGCCACAACCAGUAUUCUCUGAAGUGGUGGGCAUUAGGAAGGGCAUCCAGCUGCAGAAGCCAUGCCUAAACAAACACGGGUUCAGUAAAGUCCUCUGGCUUGCCAGCCCCUGUCAAACCAUUCAACUCAUGCCAGCAUAAAACAGGCAUCAGAUGGUGAUCCCUUUACAUUCUGUUAUGGCUUUGUACCUUCUGAGUCUUGCAGAGGUCAGCUGUUGAUUUUUAUCCUUGUGCGCAGUCAAUAAUUUAAAGUACCUAUUAAAAAUUGGGGUCAAUAUAAUUGACUCACCACUGUAUUUUGUCCCAUUAAGAAUAAUUACAGAUUGACAGAAUCAGUCAAGCAUAAAUUCUUUGUGGUAUUUGUUCCCGCUCUUUAACCCUACCAAGAGUAACAUUGCCUUUCAUCCAUCCCUCUGGGUGGGUGAAAUAAAGUACUAGUCAAGUACUGGGUUGAUGGCAACGAGUAUCCCCUCUCUCCCAAAAUUGUUGGUUUCAUGACUAAAUCAGAAACAGUUGUAAUUUGUAGUGCAUUGGCAGAACUAUUACAACAUUGGGGAAGAAAUGUUUUGCAGAAUUUAUUCUAGCUCUUUACAUUCUGAGUUCAUGAGUUCAAAUCCUACUAAGGUCUACAAUGUUUUUCAGUGGGGGUCAGUGAAACAAAGUACUGGUCAAAUACUGAUUAGGUUAAUGGUAUCAACAACACUGUCUCUUCUCUAUAAUUGCUGGCUUUGGGCUGACAUAAUCGUUAGGACACUGGACAGAAUGUUUAGUGGUAUUUCAUUUGUCUUUAUGUUCUGUGUUCAAAUUCUGCAAAGUUUGGCUCUGCCUUCCGGGGGGUGGGGGGGUCAUGUAAUCAACCCCCUUCCACAUAUUUCCUGGCCUUGUGCCUCUCGUAGAAAGGAUUCUUACUAUUAAUGUAAUAUUAUUAUUAGAAGUAAUAUUUAUUUUUCUCAGAACAAGUUUGUCUCAAAAUCUUUUGCCUGUAUCUAGCUAGGUUUUGUUAAUUAAAUAAAAGGAACCGAUAAAAGAAUUUAAGAAUGAAGGAGAAACUACUCUAAGGAUAUUUUUUUCUGAAUGACCCAAGGCUGGAGACAAUUUUAGGGAUAAGAUGAAAUUAUCGAGGUUAACUUUUAUUUUUAGUCAUUUUUGGCCUAACUUUUUAUUUAUAUGGGUGGAAAAAUUUGCUUAGAAUGCAAAAUUAAUGUUGAUUGCAUAGGUUACUCCACUGUUUCUGACUGGUUGACUUCCAAUCUUGUUGGCAAUAUUUCAACAAGGUAACAUUGUAUUAAAAACACACACAUUAUCUAUCAUUCUCUCUUUCUUCUCCCCCCCCCUCCUUGCUAUCGCUCGUUUUUGUUUGUUUUUCUUUUCAUUAUUUACUGUAUGUUUAUUGCAAAUUUUCUCUGACUGGCUGGUUAACAAUUCUCACAAACCGUCCCAAGUAAAAGAAAAAAUACAAACUGCUAUUUUUAAUGGCUCCAGGGUGUUUCCUCCCUCUCCAAUCCUUCCCCUCCCCCUUUUUUUUUACACUCACAAAAUCUUUGGAUAGCCCUCUGGUGAGCUUGGUUCUCUUCUGUUAGCCUGCAAUUUCUUUGUUAUUUUUUUAGCUGAGAAAUUUAACCCUCACCUUAAUGGAAUAAUAUUAACAAUGAUAAAGAAGACAGACAUUAUACUUUAAUUAUUAAAUGUGUAAAGAACAUUCUGGAAAGACUUCUUCAGUUUGAAAAAAAAAAUAUAAUCAACA